RNAcentral lists this long non-coding RNA (262 nucleotides) under Mytilus galloprovincialis (Mediterranean mussel). Lineage: Eukaryota; Metazoa; Mollusca; Bivalvia; Mytilida; Mytilidae. The record is from RNAcentral.
UUCGUGUUUCCAUCGUUUCCAUCGGGCAGUUUUGACAUUACGAUGUCUACACGAAUGAAUCACGAAGCUACCCGAAGGUCUUACGAUGGCAACACGACUUCGUGAAGACCUCGUAAUCCCGUCGUGUUGCCAUCGAAUAAAAGUACGAAGGCGACAAGAUGGAACUACGACGGCAAUAAAUCCAGCUAAAUGUAAGUUAAUUUUUGCGCUAAAAUACAUUUAAAGUGCCAUGCGCGAUAUGCACUGGUCAGUCUGAUACGAC